This 67-nucleotide transfer RNA is filed under the name Cicadellidae sp. EMHAU-2015-Zz052706. RNAcentral describes it as "tRNA-Glu". The record is from RNAcentral. Lineage: Eukaryota; Metazoa; Arthropoda; Insecta; Hemiptera; Cicadellidae.
AUUCUUAUAGUUUAAAAAACAUUUUAUUUUCAUUAAAAAGAAGAUUUAUUAGUAAAAUCUAAGAAAA